ACCUUUCUCAAUGAUUGACCUCGGAUCAGGCAGGGAUACCCGCUGAACUUAA
RNAcentral lists this ribosomal RNA (52 nucleotides) under Lecanora anakeestiicola. RNAcentral describes it as "partial 28S ribosomal RNA". The record is from RNAcentral. Lineage: Eukaryota; Fungi; Ascomycota; Lecanoromycetes; Lecanorales; Lecanoraceae.